GACGAACGCUGGCGGCGUGCUUAACACAUGCAAGUCGAACGGUGACGAGGAGCUUGCUCCUCCGAUCAGUGGCGAACGGGUGAGUAACACGUGAGUAACCUGCCCCAGACUCUGGGAUAACAGUUGGAAACAGCUGCUAAUACCGGAUACGAGACGGAGAGGCAUCUCUACCGUCUGGAAAGUUUUUCGGUCUGGGAUGGACUCGCGGCCUAUCAGCUUGUUGGUGAGGUAAUGGCUCACCAAGGCGACGACGGGUAGCCGGCCUGAGAGGGCGACCGGCCACACUGGGACUGAGACACGGCCCAGACUCCUACGGGAGCAGCAGUGGGGAAUAUUGCGCAAUGGCGAAAGCCUGACGCAGCCACGCCGCGUGAGUGAUGAAGGCUUCGGGUCGUAAAACUCUG
RNAcentral lists this ribosomal RNA (404 nucleotides) under uncultured bacterium. RNAcentral describes it as "bacterial SSU rRNA". It matches the Rfam family "Bacterial small subunit ribosomal RNA", at positions 28 to 435 of the family's 1533-position model. The record is from RNAcentral.